CAGCCGCCGCGGUAAUACCGGCGGCCCGAGUGGCGGUCACUAUUAUUGGGCUUAAAGCGUCCGGAGCCGGGUUGGGAAGUCCUCCGGGAAAUCUGGCCGCUUAACGGUCAGAAUGCCGGAGGAUACUCCCAGCCUAGGGGGCGGGAGAGGCCGAGGGGAUUCCCGGAGGAGGGGUGAAAUCCUAUAAUCCCGGGAGGACCACCUGUGGCGAAGGCGCUCGGCUGGAACGCGUCCGACGGUGAGGGACGAAGGCCAGGGGAGCAAACCGGAUUAGAUACCCGGGUAGUCCUGGCUGUAAACGAUGCGGACUUUGUGUCGGACAAGCUAUGAGCUUGUCCGGUGCCGGAGGGAAACCGUUAAGUCCGCCGCCUGGGGAGUACGGCCGCAAGGCUGAAACUUAAAGGAAUUGGCGGG
RNAcentral lists this ribosomal RNA (414 nucleotides) under uncultured microorganism. Its description in RNAcentral is "bacterial SSU rRNA". It matches the Rfam family "Archaeal small subunit ribosomal RNA", at positions 459 to 872 of the family's 1478-position model. The record is from RNAcentral.